RNAcentral lists this ribosomal RNA (460 nucleotides) under uncultured bacterium. RNAcentral's name for it is "partial 16S ribosomal RNA". It matches the Rfam family "Bacterial small subunit ribosomal RNA", at positions 338 to 795 of the family's 1533-position model. The record is from RNAcentral.
CCUACGGGCGGCAGCAGUGAGGAAUAUUGGUCAAUGGCCGGAAGGCUGAACCAGCCAUGCCGCGUGAAGGUCAGUGCCCUAUGGGCGUUAAACUUCUUUUGUGCGGGAGCAAUAAUGGUCACGUGUGGCCAGACGAGAGUACCGUACGAAUAAGCAUCGGCUAACUACGUGCCAGCAGCCGCGGGAAUACGGGGGGUGCAAGCGUUAUCCGGAUUUAUUGGGUUUAAAGGGUGCGUAGGCUGGGAGGUAAGUCAGCGGUGAAAUGCCCCCGCUCAACGGGGUGAAGUGCCAUUGAUACUGCCUGGCUGGAAUGCGGAUGCCGUGGGAGGAAUGUGUGGUGUAGCGGUGAAAUGCAUAGAUAUCACACAGAACACCGAUUGCGAAGGCAUCUCACGAAUCCGCGAUUGACGCUGAUGCACGAAAGCGUGGGUAUCAAACAGGAUUAGAUACCCCAGUAGUC